AGUUUUAUCUCGGGGCCCAACGGCUCCAGCCUGCUCCAGUCUGCUGGGCACCUGUUACAGUUUAGAUAGGAAUCAGCCCUGUUAUCGCCGUGCACUAUCUACCGGGCACUAUAUUUGCAUAUACACGAAUAUGUUGCUGGAUUCCAUAUCUCAAAUAUGUUCAUACAUAUGAACCUAUGUAUGUACAUAUGUAUGUACAUAGGCUGCUUGUAAAACGAUUCUAUUAUCGCGUGUCUAGAGUGAGUGUUUUCCUUUGUUACGCUUUCGCUGGAUCGUGUUGGUGUUCGUUCGUUCGGUUCGUGAUAUCGCGCUUCUGCUUUCCAAGCUCUGCGAAGGGAGAAAGAUGCUGAUUAUGCUUUUGUUUUUGUUUUCGCUUUCGUUUUCGUUUUGAAUUAUCUAAAGAGAGUGUGACGUAGUGACAAAAACUGCAGCAAGGGAGAGAGUGUCUGGUGGUUGAUGGCUCUCAGCUUCUACUCUCCCUUGCGAUUUUGUGAUUAGGUCGUGUGGUAGUUUUGCUUUGAUUGAGAUGCGUAAAGCUGGAAGCUGUACGAAUGAAGAGAUUAUGGUUUAACACUUUCAAUGAUGAGCGCAUAUAUUGCUAAAUAAUAAUCAACAGUUAUUCAUGAGAAAAUCUGCAGGGAAUAUCAUGAUAGCAGCGCCAUCAGCAGGCCAUUUCUCACACACGCUCUUUGGCUGUCGAUUGAAGCGCAACAUUUAAUUGUUGCAAAAAUUCAACAAAGGCAACGAUAGGAGGAUGGACAAAUGGGAUACCCUGGAUAUGAGAUGCUUAUACAUAUAUCAUUUUAUUGUAUUUAUUUGGUAAUUAAUUAUGAAAUCUUUCAUCACGAUAAAGUGCUCCCAGGAAAGUGCUUUCCAGAGCGCAAAUCAAUACAGAAUUCUACUCUAUAGCUAUCCUCCUGCUUCUAUGCGCUACAAACCUUUGGUGUCUGCCAUCAUGCCCCUCGAAAUGCAAAAAUAACACAGAAAAAUAGAACGAGAAAGAGACAGAAGAGAAAGAGCAGCAAGAAACGCGAGUGAAACGCUUUGCAUAACAAAUUCAAUUAAAUAAGCUAGUGCAUGAAUUAAAAACAUAUUAAGCUUAAUUGGAAAAUGAAAAUUCGGUUAACAUGCGAAUAAUACACAAUGUUAAGAGCAUAUUCUUCUUCUCUCUUGCACAGCAACAACAA
Drosophila subobscura is the source of this 1187-nucleotide long non-coding RNA. RefSeq lists it as uncharacterized. The transcript has 3 exons. The record is from RefSeq and is a predicted model, not a curated record. NCBI's taxonomy places the organism in Eukaryota, Metazoa, Arthropoda, Insecta, Diptera, Drosophilidae.